This 460-nucleotide ribosomal RNA is filed under the name uncultured bacterium. RNAcentral's name for it is "partial 16S ribosomal RNA". It matches the Rfam family "Bacterial small subunit ribosomal RNA", at positions 338 to 795 of the family's 1533-position model. The record is from RNAcentral.
CCUACGGGAGGCAGCAGUGAGGAAUAUUGGUCAAUGGGCGCGAGCCUGAACCAGCCAAGUAGCGUGAAGGAUGACUGCCCUACGGGUUGUAAACUUCUUUUAUAAAGGAAUAAAGUGAGGCACGUGUGCCUUUUUGUAUGUACUUUAUGAAUAAGGAUCGGCUAACUCCGUGCCAACAGCAGCGGUAAUACGGAGGAUCCGAGCGUUAUCCGGAUUUAUUGGGUUUAAAGGGAGCGUAGAUGGGUUGUUAAGUCAGUUGUGAAAGUUUGCGGCUCAACCGUAAAAUUGCAAUUGAUACUGGCAGCCUUGAGUACAGUUGAGGUAGGCGGAAUGCGUGGUGUAGCGGUGAAAUGCUUAGAGAUCACGAAGAACUCCGAUUGCGAAGGCAGCUUACCAAGCUGCCACUGACGUUGAUGCUCGAAAGUGUGGGUAGCAAACAGGAUUAGAUACCCCUGUAGUC